UGGCGCGGAAUGGUUGUAGGGAAGAAAAACGAUAUGGCACUAGACGUAUGGGACGACCACAAGAACACUCAAAACUAAGGAUAGAUGUGAACCUAAUGGUAUACCUGAAGCUUUGAUUACCACUUAAUGAGAACAAGGGUGACCCGAUCUUUCGAAACGUUCUGGUAACUCUUGAUUUGGUGGAGACGAGACACAAAUCGAUCUGGCUUCCGAACAACACGAUCCAAAAUCCUGCAAUUUUUUUUUUUGAUAUUUUUCUUUUCUUAGGAGCAAUAAAGAAGUAACCACAGAAAACUUGAGCUUAAACAAGUGAAAGACGUGGAGUGCAGAAAUUUCUGAAGAUUGCGAAAAAUGUGAAAAAAAAUCACGAGGUGGAAACUCAAACUUUGGAGGCGAAUUUGUAGAUUCUAAAAUUUUCAAACCCACCAAUGGCAGAGACAGACAGAUCCAAAAAAUUUUUCUGACAGAUGUUGAUAUAUGGAACAUUGAAAUCGGUGUUCGUAUGCGAAAGUUAUGGUUGUUUUACGAACUGACUCCGAAUUAGAGGACAAAACGGUCCGAAAGUGGGAAAAAUUUUUGACGGUGGCUAGAAAUUGAUGGAAACGGUGGGGAAAAAUACACGAACUGGACUCUAACAAGACCUAACCAACAACAAGACCUCGACUAGGACACAAACUCAACACUGCGGACUCUGAAACUGAAAUAUGCAAAGGCUAUGACGCGGAAGGGUUGUAGGACAAGAAAACGAUAUGGCACUGGACUUAUGGGACGAACACAAGAGCACUCGGAACUAAAGUGUAGAUGUGAACUUAACGGUAUACCUGAAGCUUUGAUUACCACUUGAUGAGAACAAGGGUGGCCCGAUCUUCCGAAAGCUUAUGGUAACUCUCGAUUUGGCGGAGACGAGACACAAAUCGAUUCGGCUUCCAAACAACACAAUCCAAAAUCCUACUAUUUUUUAUUUUUUUAUAUUUUUCUUUUACUUAGGAGCAAUAAAGAAGUAACCACAGAAAAUUUAAGCUUAAACAAGUGAAAGACGUGGCUUGCGGAAAUUUCUGAAGAUUGUGAAAAAUGUGAAAAAAAUUCACGAGGUGAAAACUCAAACUUUAGAGGUGAAUUUGGAGAUUCUAAAAUUUUCAAACCCACCAAUGGUAGAGACAGACAGAUCCAAAUUUUUUCUGAUCGAUUUUUAUAUAUGGAACAUUGAAAUCGGAGUUCGUAUGUGAAAGUUAUGCUUGUUUUACGAACGGACUCCGAAUUAGAGGACAAAACGGUCCGAAAGUGGGAAAAAUUUUCGGCGGUGGCUAGAAAUUGAUGGAAACGGUGGGGAAAAAAUACACGAACUAGACUCUAAUAAAACCUAACCAACAACAAGACCUCGACUAGGACACAAACUCGACACUGCGGACUAUGAAACUAAAAUAUGCAAAGGCUCUGGCACGGAAGGUUGUAGGACAGGAAAACGAUAUGGCACUAGACUUAUUGGACGAACACAAGAACACUCGAAACUAAGGGUAGCUGUGAACCUAAUGAUAUACCUAAAGCUGAUUACCACUGGAUGAGAACAAACGGUGGCCCGAUCUUCCCAAAGGUUCUGGUAACUCUCGAUUUGGCGGAUACGAGAUACAAAUCGAUCUGGGUUCCAAACAACACGAUCCGAAAUCCUGCAAUUUUUCUAAAUUUUUUUUAUAUAUUUCUUUUACUUAGAAGCACUAAAGAAGUAACCACAGAAAAUUUGAGCUUAAACAAGUGAAAGACGUGGCCUGCAGAAUUUUUGGAAGAUUGUGAAAAAUGUGAAAUAAACUUCACGAGGUGAAAACUGAAACUUCAGAGGCGAAUUUGGAGAUUCUAAAAUUUUCAAACCCACCAAUGGCAGAGACAGACAGAUCCAAACUUUUUUUCUGACCAAUUUUGAUAUAUGGAACAAUGAAAUCGGUGUUCGUAUGUGAAAGUUAUGGUUAUUUUAAGAACGGACUGGCAAAACGGUCCGAAAGUGGGAAAAAAUUGCGGCGGUGGCUAGAAAUUGAUGGAAACGGUGGGGAAAAAUACACAAACUGGACUCUAACAAGACCUAACCAGCAACAAGCCCCCAACCAUGACACAAACUCGACACUGCGGACUCUGAAACUGAAGUAUGCAGAGGCUAUGGCGCGGAAUGGUUGUAGGGAAGAAAAACGAUAUGGCACUAGACGUAUGGGACGACCACAAGAACACUCAAAACUAAGGAUAGAUGUGAACCUAAUGGUAUACCUGAAGCUUUGAUUACCACUUAAUGAGAACAAGGGUGACCCGAUCUUUCGAAACGUUCUGGUAACUCUUGAUUUGGUGGAGACGAGACACAAAUCGAUCUGGCUUCCGAACAACACGAUCCAAAAUCCUGCAAUUUUUUUUUUGAUAUUUUUCUUUUCUUAGGAGCAAUAAAGAAGUAACCACAGAAAACUUGAGCUUAAACAAGUGAAAGACGUGGAGUGCAGAAAUUUCUGAAGAUUGCGAAAAAUGUGAAAAAAAAUCACGAGGUGGAAACUCAAACUCUGGAGGCGAAUUUGUAGAUUCUAAAAUUUUCAAACCCACCAAUGGCAGAGACAGACAGAUCCAAAAAAUUUUUCUGACAGAUGUUGAUAUAUGGAACAUUGAAAUCGGUGUUCGUAUGCGAAAGUUAUGGUUGUUUUACGAACUGACUCCGAAUUAGAGGACAAAACGGUCCGAAAGUGGGAAAAAUUUUUGACGGUGGCUAGAAAUUGAUGGAAACGGUGGGGGAAAAUACACGAACUGGACUCUAACAAGACCUAAUCAACAACAAGACCUCAACUAGGACACAAACUCAACACUGCGGACUCUGAAACUGAAAUAUGCAAAGGCUAUGACGCGGAAGGGUUGUAGGACAAGAAAACGAUAUGGCACUGGACUUAUGGGACGAACACAAGAGCACUCGGAACUAAAGGGUAGAUGUGAACUUAACGGUAUACCUGAAGCUUUGAUUACCACUUGAUGAGAACAAGGGUGGCCCGAUCUUCCGAAAGCUUAUGGUAACUCUCGAUUUGGCGGAGACGAGACACAAAUCGAUUCGGCUUCCAAACAACACAAUCCAAAAUCCUACUAUUUUUUAUUUUUUUAUAUUUUUCUUUUACUUAGGAGCAAUAAAGAAGUAACCACAGAAAAUUUAAGCUUAAACAAGUGAAAGACGUGGCUUGCGGAAAUUUCUGAAGAUUGUGAAAAAUGUGAAAAAAAUUCACGAGGUGAAAACUCAAACUUUAGAGGUGAAUUUGGAGAUUCUAAAAUUUUCAAACCCACCAAUGGUAGAGACAGACAGAUCCAAAUUUUUUCUGAUCGAUUUUUAUAUAUGGAACAUUGAAAUCGGAGUUCGUAUGUGAAAGUUAUGCUUGUUUUACGAACGGACUCCGAAUUAGAGGACAAAACGGUCCGAAAGUGGGAAAAAUUUUCGGCGGUGGCUAGAAAUUGAUGGAAACGGUGGGGAAAAAAUACACGAACUAGACUCUAAUAAAACCUAACCAACAACAAGACCUCGACUAGGACACAAACUCGACACUGCGGACUAUGAAACUAAAAUAUGCAAAGGCUCUGGCACGGAAGGUUGUAGGACAGGAAAACGAUAUGGCACUAGACUUAUUGGACGAACACAAGAACACUCGAAACUAAGGGUAGAUGUGAACCUAAUGAUAUACCUAAAGCUGAUUACCACUGGAUGAGAACAAACGGUGGCCCGAUCUUCCCAAAGGUUCUGGUAACUCUCGAUUUGGCGGAUACGAGAUACAAAUCGAUCUGGGUUCCAAACAACACGAUCCGAAAUCCUGCAAUUUUUCUAAAUUUUUUUUAUAUAUUUCUUUUACUUAGAAGCACUAAAGAAGUAACCACAGAAAAUUUGAGCUUAAACAAGUGAAAGACGUGGCCUGCAGAAUUUUUGGAAGAUUGUGAAAAAUGUGAAAUAAACUUCACGAGGUGAAAACUGAAACUUCAGAGGCGAAUUUGGAGAUUCUAAAAUUUUCAAACCCACCAAUGGCAGAGACAGACAGAUCCAAACUUUUUUUCUGACCAAUUUUGAUAUAUGGAACAAUGAAAUCGGUGUUCGUAUGUGAAAGUUAUGGUUAUUUUAAGAACGGACUCCGAAUUAGAUGGCAAAACGGUCCGAAAGUGGGAAAAAAUUGCGGCGGUGGCUAGAAAUUGAUGGAAACGGUGGGGAAAAAUACACAAACUGGACUCUAACAAGACCUAACCAGCAACAAGCCCCCAACCAUGACACAAACUCGACACUGCGGACUCUGAAACUGAAGUAUGCAGAGGCUAUGGCGCGGAAUGGUUGUAGGGAAGAAAAACGAUAUGGCACUAGACGUAUGGGACGACCACAAGAACACUCAAAACUAAGGAUAGAUGUGAACCUAAUGGUAUACCUGAAGCUUUGAUUACCACUUAAUGAGAACAAGGGUGGCCCGAUCUUCCGAAACGUUCUGGUAACUCUUGAUUUGGUGGAGACGAGACACAAAUCGAUCUGGCUUCCGAACAACACGAUCCAAAAUCCUGCAUUUUUUUUUUUGAUAUUUUUCUUUUCUUAGGAGCAAUAAAGAAGUAACCACAGAAAACUUGAGCUUAAACAAGUGAAAGACGUGGAGUGCAGAAAUUUCUAA
RNAcentral lists this long non-coding RNA (4640 nucleotides) under Sorghum bicolor (sorghum). RNAcentral describes it as "long non-coding RNA (SBIC_LNC012774)". The record is from RNAcentral. Lineage: Eukaryota; Viridiplantae; Streptophyta; Magnoliopsida; Poales; Poaceae.